GUUUGAUCCUGGCUCAGGAUGAACGCUGGCGGCGUGCUUAACACAUGCAAGUCGAACGAACCUUCGGGUUAGUGGCGGACGGGUGAGUAACGCGUGAGAAUCUGCCCUCAGGAGGGGGAUAACGGCUGGAAACGGCCGCUAAUACCCCAUAUGCCGAGAGGUGAAAUGAAUUUCGCCUGAGGAUGAGCUCGCGUCUGAUUAGCUAGUUGGUAAGGUAAGAGCUUACCAAGGCAUCGAUCAGUAGCUGGUCUGAGAGGAUGAUCAGCCACACUGGGACUGAGACACGGCCCAGACUCCUACGGGAGGCAGCAGUGGGGAAUUUUCCGCAAUGGGCGAAAGCCUGACGGAGCAACGCCGCGUGAGGGAUGAAGGCCUCUGGGCUGUAAACCUCUUUUCUCAAGGAAGAAGACAUGACGGUACUUGAGGAAUAAGCCACGGCUAAUUCCGUGCCAGCAGCCGCGGUAAUACGGGAGUGGCAAGCGUUAUCCGGAAUUAUUGGGCGUAAAGCGUCCGCAGGCGGCCUUUUAAGUCUGUUGUUAAAGCGUGGAGCUCAACUCCAUUUCGGCAAUGGAAACUGGGAGGCUGGAGUGUGGUAGGGGCAGAGGGAAUUCCCGGUGUAGCGGUGAAAUGCGUAGAUAUCGGGAAGAACACCAGUGGCGAAGGCGCUCUGCUGGGCCAUAACUGACGCUCAUGGACGAAAGCCAGGGGAGCGAAAGGGAUUAGAUACCCCUGUAGUCCUGGCCGUAAACGAUGAACACUAGGUGUCGGGGGAAUCGACCCCCUCGGUGUCGUAGCCAACGCGUUAAGUGUUCCGCCUGGGGAGUACGCACGCAAGUGUGAAACUCAAAGGAAUUGACGGGGGCCCGCACAAGCGGUGGAGUAUGUGGUUUAAUUCGAUGCAACGCGAAGAACCUUACCAGGGUUUGACAUCCUGCGAAUCCCUUGGAAACUAGGGAGUGCCUUCGGGAGCGCAGAGACAGGUGGUGCAUGGCUGUCGUCAGCUCGUGUCGUGAGAUGUUGGGUUAAGUCCCGCAACGAGCGCAACCCACGUCUUUAGUUGCCAGCAUUUAGUUGGGCACUCUAGAGAGACCGCCGGUGAUAAACCGGAGGAAGGUGUGGAUGACGUCAAGUCAUCAUGCCCCUUACAUCCUGGGCUACACACGUACUACAAUGCUACGGACAAAGGGCAGCAAACUCGCGAGAGCUAGCAAAUCCCAUAAACCGUGGCUCAGUUCAGAUCGUAGGCUGCAACUCGCCUACGUGAAGGAGGAAUCGCUAGUAAUCGCAGGUCAGCAUACUGCGGUGAAUACGUUCCCGGGCCUUGUACACACCGCCCGUCACACCAUGGAAGUUGGCCACGCCCGAAGCCGUUACUCCAACCCUUGUGGAGGAGGACGUCGAAGGUGGGGCUGAUGACUGGGGUGAAGUCGUAACAAGGUA
RNAcentral lists this ribosomal RNA (1440 nucleotides) under metagenome. Its description in RNAcentral is "bacterial SSU rRNA". It matches the Rfam family "Bacterial small subunit ribosomal RNA". The record is from RNAcentral.